CUGUACAGUUCAGAGUUUGAUCCUGGCUCAGGACGAACGCUGGCGGCGUGCCUAACACAUGCAAGUCGAACGGGGUGGAUUCCUUCGGGAGAUCACUUAGUGGCGAACGGGUGAGUAACGCGUGAGAAACCUGCCUCUCAGUGGGGGACAACAGUUGGAAACGACUGCUAAUACCGCAUAACACUUUAGUACCGCAUGGUACAGAAGUCAAAGCUUUAUGUGCUGAGAGAUGGUCUCGCGUCUGAUUAGCUAGAUGGCGGGGUAAAGGCCCACCAUGGCGACGAUCAGUAGCCGGUCUGAGAGGAUGAACGGCCACAUUGGGACUGAGAUACGGCCCAG
This 339-nucleotide ribosomal RNA is filed under the name uncultured bacterium. RNAcentral describes it as "bacterial SSU rRNA". It matches the Rfam family "Bacterial small subunit ribosomal RNA", at positions 1 to 334 of the family's 1533-position model. The record is from RNAcentral.